AAUAGAUACCCUGGUAGUCCACGCCGUAAACGAUGAGUGCUAAGUGUUAGGGGGUUUCCGCCCCUUAGUGCUGCAGCUAACGCAUUAAGCACUCCGCCUGGGGAGUACGGUCGCAAGACUGAAACUCAAAGGAAUUGACGGGGGCCCGCACAAGCGGUGGAGCAUGUGGUUUAAUUCGAAGCAACGCGAAGAACCUUACCAGGUCUUGACAUCCCGUUGACCACUAUGGAGACAUAGUUUUCCCUUCGGGGACAACGGUGACAGGUGGUGCAUGGUUGUCGUCAGCUCGUGUCGUGAGAUGUUGGGUUAAGUCCCGCAACGAGCGCAACCCUUGUUCUUAGUUGCCAUCAUUUAGUUGGGCACUCUAAGGAGACUGCCGGUGACAAACCGGAGGAAGGUGGGGAUGACGUCAAAUCAUCAUGCCCCUUAUGACCUGGGCUACACACGUGCUACAAUGGACGGUACAAACGGUUGCCAACCCGGCAGGGGGGAGCUAAUCCGAUAAAACCGUUCUCAGUUCGGAUUGUAGGCUGCAACUCGCUACAUGAAGCC
This 552-nucleotide ribosomal RNA is filed under the name uncultured bacterium. RNAcentral describes it as "bacterial SSU rRNA". It matches the Rfam family "Bacterial small subunit ribosomal RNA", at positions 777 to 1327 of the family's 1533-position model. The record is from RNAcentral.